CGAACGAUGAAGCCCCUUCGGGGGUGGAUUAGUGGCGAACGGGUGAGUAACACGUGGGCAAUCUGCCCUGCACUCUGGGACAAGCCCUGGAAACGGGGUCUAAUACCGGAUACGACCCUCGGCCGCAUCGCCUCUGGGUGGAAAGCUCCGGCGGUGCAGGAUGAGCCCGCGGCCUAUCAGCUUGUUGGUGAGGUAACGGCUCACCAAGGCGACGACGGGUAGCCGGCCUGAGAGGGCGACCGGCCACACUGGGACUGAGACACGGCCCAGACUCCUACGGGAGGCAGCAGUGGGGAAUAUUGCACAAUGGGCGCAAGCCUGAUGCAGCGACGCCGCGUGAGGGAUGACGGCCUUCGGGUUGUAAACCUCUUUCAGCAGGGAAGAAGCGUAAGUGACGGUACCUGCAGAAGAAGCGCCGGCUAACUACGUGCCAGCAGCCGGGGGUAAUUC
This 450-nucleotide ribosomal RNA is filed under the name Streptomyces sp. EYN-7-1. RNAcentral describes it as "bacterial SSU rRNA". It matches the Rfam family "Bacterial small subunit ribosomal RNA", at positions 63 to 526 of the family's 1533-position model. Lineage: Bacteria; Bacillati; Actinomycetota; Actinomycetes; Kitasatosporales; Streptomycetaceae. The record is from RNAcentral.